GAUGAACGCUGACAGAAUGCUUAACACAUGCAAGUCUUUGGCGAAGCUGUGCUUGCACAGCCUAGCCAAGGCGGACGGGUGAGUAACGCGUAAGGAACUUGCCCUGCAGUCAGGGAUAACAGACGGAAACGACUGAUAAGACCUGGUAAAGUCAGGCGGACUCAUGUCCAGCCUGAUGAAAAGUGAUGCUGCAGGAGAGCCUUGCGUCCUAUUAGCUUGUUGGUGGGGUAACGGCCCACCAAGGCGAUGAUAGGUAGCCGGCCUGAGAGGGUGGACGGCCACAAGGGGACUGAGAUACGGCCCUUACUCCUACGGGAGGCAGCAGUGGGGAAUAGUGGACAAUGGGGGCAACCCUGAUCCAGAAAUUCUGUGUGCACGAUGAAGGUUUUCGGAUUGUAAAGUGCUUUCAGCAGGGAAGAAAAAAAUGACGGUACCUGCAGAAGAAGCGACGGCUAAAUACGUG
RNAcentral lists this ribosomal RNA (463 nucleotides) under uncultured bacterium. Its description in RNAcentral is "partial 16S ribosomal RNA". It matches the Rfam family "Bacterial small subunit ribosomal RNA", at positions 28 to 507 of the family's 1533-position model. The record is from RNAcentral.